CUGACUUUGACUAUGGAUAUGUGCAACACAUUUCUGAACUGAAUGGAUGUAUAUUCUUAGAUGUCGACAGGUGCUCUUUAAAAAUCUCUCAUCAAGUGCCUAGCCAAGGUCAAAGGUUUUAGAGUUGGGAGAAUCUGCAAAGCAGUUAGAAUAAAACAGUAAGUGGCUGAUCUCCAUUUAGCUGUUAAUUACUGUUAGGAGGUGGUAUGUGUAUGUUAGGAG
This 222-nucleotide unclassified non-coding RNA is filed under the name Hevea brasiliensis (rubber tree). The record is from RNAcentral. Lineage: Eukaryota; Viridiplantae; Streptophyta; Magnoliopsida; Malpighiales; Euphorbiaceae.